AUUGAACGCUGGCGGCAUGCCUAACACAUGCAAGUCGAACGGCAGCACGGGGCCUUGCCCUUGGUUGCGAGUGGGACGGGUGAGGAAAGUCCAUGGAACUACCUCCUGUUGGGGGGUAACGCCCGGCAAAGGCCGCUUAUAUCCCAUAUGCCCUCAGGGAGAGAGCGCGGGGUCCUUGGGGCCCACGCUCUCAGAUGUUGCGAGGGCUGAUUAGCUAGUUGGUGGGGUAAAGGCCUACCAAGGCGACGAUCAGUAGCUGGUCUGAGAGGAUGAUCAGCCACACUGGAACUGAGACACGGCCCAGACUCCUACGGGAGGCAGCAGUGGGGAAUUUUGGACAAUGGGCGAAAGCCUGAUCCAGCAAUGCCGCGUGUGUGAAGAAGGCCUUCGGGUUGUAAAGCACUUUUGUUCGGAAAGAAAGGCUGGGCGCUAAUACCGUCGGGGGAUGACGGUACCGGAAGAAUAAGCACCGGCUAACUACGUG
RNAcentral lists this ribosomal RNA (484 nucleotides) under uncultured bacterium. RNAcentral describes it as "partial 16S ribosomal RNA". It matches the Rfam family "Bacterial small subunit ribosomal RNA", at positions 30 to 507 of the family's 1533-position model. The record is from RNAcentral.